This 319-nucleotide ribosomal RNA is filed under the name uncultured eukaryote. RNAcentral describes it as "partial 18S ribosomal RNA". It matches the Rfam family "Eukaryotic small subunit ribosomal RNA", at positions 1470 to 1796 of the family's 1831-position model. The record is from RNAcentral.
CCCUUAGAUGUUCUGGGCAGCACGCGCGCUACAAUGGUCUUCGCAAACGGAUGCAUUCUCGAAGGAGAAUGCCAAUCUUGGAAUCUAUGCCUUGGUCGGGACAGUUGCUUGCAAUUUUUCGACUCGAACCAGGAAUUCCUUGUAAUCGUGAUUCAUCACAUCACGAUGAAUACGUCCCUGCCCUUUGUACACACCCCCCGUCGCUCCUACCGAUCGAAGAGUUAGGUGAAUUGUUUUGAUCGAUAAGAUUUGACUAUGGUCAACUCUCGUUGUGAAAUUCUGUGAAUCUGACUGUUUAGAGGAAGGAAAAGUCGUAACA